GUGAGUCAUCGAAUCUUUGAACGCACAUUGCGCCCGCCAGUAUUCUGGCGGGCAUGCCUGUUCGAGCGUCAUUUCAACCAUCAAGCCCCAGGCUUGUGUUGGAGCCCUGCGGCUGCCGCAGCCUCCUAAAAUCAGUGGCGGGCUCGCUAUCACACCGAGUGCAGUAGUUUACUCUUCGCUCAGGACGUGUAGCGGGUGCUAGCCGUGAAACCCCAACUUCUCAAGGUUGACCUCGGAUCAGGUAGGAAUACCCGCUGAACUUAAGCAUAUCAAUAAGCGGAGGA
RNAcentral lists this unclassified non-coding RNA (284 nucleotides) under Podospora sp. Its description in RNAcentral is "partial contains 5.8S ribosomal RNA, internal transcribed spacer 2, and large subunit ribosomal RNA". The stretch from base 1 to 71 matches the Rfam family "5.8S ribosomal RNA", at positions 84 to 154 of the family's 154-position model. Lineage: Eukaryota; Fungi; Ascomycota; Sordariomycetes; Sordariales; Podosporaceae. The record is from RNAcentral.